AAUUGGAGGGCAAGUCUGGUGCCAGCAGCCGCGGUAAUUCCAGCUCCAAUAGCGUAUAUUAAAGUUGUUGCAGUUAAAAAGCUCGUAGUUGAAUUUCGGGGUUAGUAGGUUGGUCAUGCCUCUGGUAUGUACUGAUCUCACUGAUUCCUCCUUCCUUAUGAACCGUAAUGCCAUUAAUUUGGUGUUGCGGGGAAUUUGGACUGUUACUUUGAAAAAAUUAGAGUGCUUAAAGCAGGCUAACGCUUGAAUACAUUAGCAUGGAAUAAUGAAAUAGGACGUUCGAUCUUAUUUUGUUGGUUUCUAGGAUUGACGUAAUGAUUAAUAGGGAUAGUUGGGGGCAUUAGUAUUCAAUUGUCAGAGGUGAAAUUCUUGGAUUUAUUGAAGACUAACUACUGCGAAAGCAUUUGCCAAGGAUGUUUUCAUUAAUCAAGAACGAAAGUUAGGGGAUCGAAGACGAUCAGAUACCGUCGUAGUCUUAACCAUAAACUAUGCCGACUAGGGAUCGGAUGAUGUUAAUUUUUUAAUGACUCAUUCGGCGCCUUACGGGAAACCAAAGUGU
Molecule: ribosomal RNA, 559 nt
Filed under: uncultured Glomus
Lineage: Eukaryota; Fungi; Glomeromycota; Glomeromycetes; Glomerales; Glomeraceae
Description: SSU rRNA
Rfam family: Eukaryotic small subunit ribosomal RNA
Source: RNAcentral